ACGCAUCGUAUAGUCAUGCUACCAUAAUCGUGCCUCGUGCAUGCGGGCGCGCGACGAGCCUCUUCAGUGACAGGCGUGGGAGUGUGUUGCUGGAACAUGUGACGAGGGUGGCCUCCGGGCUCCGGGUGCUCCGACGCAGCGAAUUUCCUUAAAAGUAGGAGCUGGUAGGAGCUACGGCCGCGCUCGCAAGUCGCUACAAGUGAUUUUUUUCGCGUCACGAGGGACUGCUCCGUGAGAUAUGUGUUUGAACGCUGGGUGAUUGAUCCCAGUGAGAGAGAUGCGCGAGGAUGCUACCUCGGAAUUAGCCUUCCUGCAUUUUUCCACGGCUCACGGUUAACAAAUAGUCGAGAGUUAUGUCGAAGCCUGACGCGCCGAAAUUUGUCACGGCACUUUUCUCUUUCAAAGGGAAGAAUAACGAUGAAUUGUGCUUCAAGAAAGGAGAUGUAAUAAUGAUAACUCAGGUGGACGAUGAAGGCUGGUGGGAGGGCACAUUGCAUGAUAAGACUGGUUGGUUUCCUUCAAAUUAUGUCAAGGAGUACAGGGUUCCAGAUGGUAACCAUACGUCAAUUAAGACGUCUCCAGAAAGGAGUCCACUGGAGUCACCUGCACAUCAAAAGCUCAAUCGUGAUAUAGUGCUAAAGGACAUUGUUGAUUCUGAAAGAGUAAAUGUAGCCGAGCUGCAAGGACUAGUGAAUAAUUUUUUACAACCUCUUGAGACAUCAAAUAUAUUGAAGAAAGAUGAAUAUAAACAGCUACUUGGUAACAUACAUGAGAUCUUGGAGACUCAUCAGUGUUUAUUAGCAAAUUUGGAAGGAACUAUUUUGCAAGGACUCUCUGCAAGAGUAGGGAAUCUCUUUCUAACAAUUGCACCAAGGCUAAAAUCCAUUCAUACUACAUAUUGUAACAAUCAUCCGCAAGCUGUUUGCAUAUUGGAUAGAUACAGAGAUGAAUUAAAUGAAUUUAUGGAGCGCACUGGAGCGAUAUCGCCUGGUAUAUUAGUAUUAACCACUGGCCUUAGCAAGCCGUUCCGAAGGUUGGAUAAGUAUUCUGCUAUGCUUCAAGAAUUAGAAAGAUACACCGAAAAAAAUCAUCCUGACAGAGGAGAUACUCAACGUAGCAUAACAGUAUAUAGGGAAAUUACGGAUCACUGCGCUUCUAUACGUAAGCAGCGUGAAUUAGCGCUUCAAAUAUUAACUAGCGGUAUUAAAGGUUGGGAAGGCGAAGAAUUAAAUUCACUAGGCGAAAUUAUUCACGUUGGAUCUGUGACUUUAGCGACUGGUGUAGAUCGCAGAGAUAGAUAUUUUGUUUUAUUUCCUACCACAUUGCUGGUACUUAGUACCAGUACUAGAAUGAGUUCCUUCAUUUACGAGGGAAAACUUCCAUUAACUGGCAUUAAUGUAACUGGAAUGGAAGAUACGGAUGAAAUAAGAAAUGCUCUGGAGAUCACUGGGCCUAUGAUUGAAAGCAUCGUCGUGCUGUGUACUACAAAGGAGGAGAGACAGCGUUGGAUCGAUCUUUUAAUUCAGGAACAGUGCACUAACCUCCUGAAAUCGCCAACCGUGCCUCGUGUGAGUUGCCAUCAUCCUCCAUACGCUCGACUCUCGAGAUACUUUGCGAAGCUCGUGAGGAGAAAAGUCAUAUAUCCUGAAUUAAUGAAGAAGUUAUUAUAUAUUCAAUACGUCCUGAGGCCAGAUUUAAGUAACGUAAAAAUGAGAAAGUGCAAUGUGACCUAUACUAUUUUUCCUACUCAUAUGAGCGAAGGAUCAGAGUCAGAAACAUCUAUGAAAAGUAAUGUGCAAGAAGAGCCGCGAGUAUUGCGUAAAUCCUCAUUAAUACUGGACGUUAGAUAUGUAAUUGAUAAUACUGAUCUUAGUACUGUUGGAAUAACCAGCACUUCCUCACUCACGAAUUUCGCACCGAGAGUUGAUUGCGACAAUCGAUGUACCUUCGAGACUAGUAAGAGUUUACCUGUCGGUGCUACAAUGAGUCACGUCCUGCCAAACGUUCCGCUCGCGUCAAGUAAAUCGUAUACGUCGAAUCUUCAAGUACGCAAUAAAUUUUGUCGGGAGCAUUUGGAAAAUCUACAUGACGAAGAUCGCAACGAUCUGACUGUGAACUAUAAAUAUUUGAGAGCGAUUGAGGAAUUUUAUCCAAAAAACUUGGACAUCCCAGUUCGAUAUUCCAUGACUUCCGCUCAGAACGAUAAUUGCGAUAGCGUCGGGAAAGAAUUUCGAGAAACAUGCGCAAAUAUUAGCUUACGAUCUUCGGAUUCGGGAAUGGCCGAGAGUUAUCACUUACAUUCAUCUGAAAUUAAUUCCUGUUACAAAUCGUAUACGUCUAGUCAUACCAAAUAUACAGAUCCCGUAAGAACGUCUCAUAGCGAAAGCGAUAAUGAUGAGAAUAAGUUCGAGCAUCAGUGUAUUUGCACUUCGCCAUUUGGUUCUACGCCUCGAGACAGCGCUCACUCGCAGGCUUCGUCCAAAAAUAUUGACGAGUGUGCAAGCUUCGCGAGACCUAAUGAUGUCGGUAGCGAUGCUAACGACGAUUCCAAUAAUAGCGAGAGGAAAGUUCAAGAGACUGUAUUAAUUCAUCCUCUGAUGAAUUACGAAAAUGUACAAGGAAAAAGAUAUACACAACCGAUACCAUAUGCGCAUCAAUGCGUAAUUAAGAAAAUUGGGAGACGCGCAGUGCGUCCAAUUCAGCCAAUUAUGGAGGAACAUGACGAGCCAACAAAUCAAGUGUAUUCAUCUGGAUUGUACGCUCAUUGGUGGCUCAAGAAGUCUAUCCCGAUAUUUGGAUGCGCAGAACAAGCAGACAAACAAUCAACCGAACGGAAAGCACCAACGACCGGCAAUGGAGCAUUGUACAUCUCCAGGAAUUAAGACACCUUGGAGUAUUGCAUCAUUAAGGCCCGCUCCUCCCUUAUAUUCUCUUAAGAACUGUGGAAAAAUAGAAACUACUACAGAUACGUCACGCCCAUCACGAUCAUGCAAUGAGCGACAGUUUGAAGAAGAUGCGAUUAUAUUGAAAGUAAUAGAAGGUUAUUGUCUUUCUGUCAAUGCUAGAUUUACUGUACAUUCUGGAGAAUCUAAUUCAAUGCUAGAUUAUGAGUCACAAAAAUCACGUGAUAGAAUAUCGUUGACACAUAAUAGAAGCAACUGGGAAUCUUGUAAUGACAGGGCAUUAUCGGAAACGGUUAAAACCUUAAAGAAUCAAAUGACUGAUUUACAAUCGCAAAUGUCGCUAUUAACAAAA
This is an RNA transcript of Solenopsis invicta (red fire ant), 3255 nucleotides long. It is a transcript of the gene named rho guanine nucleotide exchange factor 7, with no coding region annotated. NCBI's taxonomy places the organism in Eukaryota, Metazoa, Arthropoda, Insecta, Hymenoptera, Formicidae. The transcript has 12 exons. The record is from RefSeq and is a predicted model, not a curated record.